Molecule: ribosomal RNA, 218 nt
Filed under: uncultured bacterium
Lineage: Bacteria
Description: partial 16S ribosomal RNA
Rfam family: Bacterial small subunit ribosomal RNA
Source: RNAcentral
ACAGUCUCAGUUCGGAUUGAAGGCUGAAAUUCGCCUUCAUGAAGCCGGAAUUGCUAGUAAUGGCAGGUCAGCAUACUGCCGUGAAUACGUUCCCGGGCCUUGUACACACCGCCCGUCACACCAUGAGAGUUGGGGAUACCCGAAGCCUGUGAGCUAACUUUUAGAGGCAGCAGUCGAAGGUAGAAUCAAUGAUUGGGGUGAAGUCGUAACAAGGUAAC